Molecule: ribosomal RNA, 210 nt
Filed under: uncultured Rhodocyclaceae bacterium
Lineage: Bacteria; Pseudomonadati; Pseudomonadota; Betaproteobacteria; Rhodocyclales; Rhodocyclaceae
Description: partial 16S ribosomal RNA
Rfam family: Bacterial small subunit ribosomal RNA
Source: RNAcentral
GGUGGGGAUGACGUCAAGUCCUCAUGGCCCUUAUAGGUGGGCUUCACACGUCAUACAAUGGUCGGUACAGAGGGUUGCCAACCGCGAGGGGAGCUAAUCCCACAAAGCCGAUCGUAGUCCGGAUCGCAGUCUGCAACUCGACUGCGUGAAGUCGGAAUCGCUAGUAAUCGUGGAUCAAGCAUGUCACGGUGAAUACCGUUCCCGGGUCUU